Molecule: RNA transcript, 1490 nt
Organism: Sphaerodactylus townsendi
Lineage: Eukaryota; Metazoa; Chordata; Lepidosauria; Squamata; Sphaerodactylidae
Gene: CRELD1
Gene name: cysteine rich with EGF like domains 1
Exons: 10
Source: RefSeq, a predicted model, not a curated record
UGCGGUCUGUUGGGCAGGAGGGCGGGGGUUUCUGCCGCGGCCAGUGACCCGUGUGCAAAACAGGGCGCCCCUCGCGCCGGCCUUGCCCCUGCUGCCCCGCACGGGCUCCCCCAGGGGCGAGCGGGGGCGAGGAAAGCCUUCUUGCCGGCAUGAAGAUGGCUUUGCCUUGGUUGAGAGCCCUCCCUCCGCCGUUCUUAUUUCUCCUGCUGUUCCUGUGGAUUCCAGGCCCAGGGACCCCCCAGAAAGAGCCCUGUCAGACCUGCCAGGAUCUUACCAGCAACUUCAACAAGGGUCUGGAGCGGACACAGCGAGAGAACUUCGGGGGCGGGAACACAGCCUGGGAAGAAGAGAAGCUUGCAAAAUAUGCCAACAGCGAGACCCGCCUGCUGGAGGUGCUGGAAGGCGUGUGCGCCACGUCAGACUUCGCCUGCCACCAGCUGCUGGAGAAGAGCGAGGAGCACGUCGAGCGUUGGUGGUUCCAUGAGCAGCAGCAGCACCCUGACUUUUCCCAGUGGCUCUGCAUGGACACGUUGAAGCUCUGCUGUUCCCCUGGCACCUAUGGGCCCGAUUGCCACACCUGCCCCGGGGGUACCCAGAAGCCCUGCAGUGGGUAUGGGCAGUGUGACGGUGAUGGCACACGUGGAGGCACUGGCCUGUGCAUGUGCCAGACGGGCUACGGGGGCCCCUACUGUUCUGAGUGUGGAGAUGGCUACUACCAAGCAGCUCGCAACGACAGCCACCUGGUAUGUGCGGAGUGCUACCGGGCCUGUGGACGCUGCUCUGGACCUGAAGACUCAAGCUGUCUCCGCUGCAAGAGAGGUUGGAUGAUGCAUGACCGCAGGUGCAUUGACAUUGACGAAUGUGGCACAGACAUGGCGCACUGUCGUGCCAACCAGUUUUGUAUCAACACGGAAGGAUCCUAUGAAUGCCGAGGUAAGGGUGCAAAGUCUCCAACAACAACGUAGUAUUAUCUUUUUUAAAAAAAAUUAUUUUACCAACUUAAUUUACGGGGGGAGAAAGAUUAAAAGAAUAAAAAUAAGUAAACACAGACAGACAUAGCUAAAGAAAAACAAUUGUAGUCACAUCACAGAUAAGUAGAAGAGAAAAAAACAAAAUAAGUAAAAAGUGAAUGAACUGCAAAAAGAGAAAGAAAGAAUGGAGGGAGCGGGAAAGGCUUCUUAUGGAAGCUCAUAGCUCAUCCAGACUUGAUUUUCCCAGGUUUCUCAGGUGAUCCUAGAUUUUCUCAGAAUUAGUGGGUCUGUAUCUAACCCUGUGUAGUCCACCUGUCAAAUUUUAGGUCCCCAGUAUCUGAGGAGGUGAGAGUUGAGAAAAAAAACUCGCUCUACAGUCAGCACAAUUGCUCCUUUCAGCAGGAGUGAUCAGGAGCACUCAAAGGUUCGCCUGGGAUGAAGUGCCAUUUUCCCCAGAAGUCCAACAAUGUAGUAUUAUCGUUUCUGUGGCGUAUUACUAAAAUUCAGCUUUGAAACUGA